Molecule: ribosomal RNA, 524 nt
Filed under: uncultured bacterium
Lineage: Bacteria
Description: bacterial SSU rRNA
Rfam family: Bacterial small subunit ribosomal RNA
Source: RNAcentral
UGGGGAAUAUUGGACAAUGGACCAAGAGUCUGAUCCAGCAAUUCUGUGUGCACGAUGAAGUUUUUCGGAAUGUAAAGUGCUUUCAGUUGGGAAGAAAGAAAUGACGGUACCAACAGAAGAAGUGACGGCUAAAUACGUGCCAGCAGCCGCGGUAAUACGUAUGUCACGAGCGUUAUCCGGAUUUAUUGGGCGUAAAGCGCGUCUAGGUGGCUAUGUAAGUCUGAUGUGAAAAUGCAGGGCUCAACUCUGUAUUGCGUUGGAAACUGUAUAGCUAGAGUACUGGAGAGGUAAGCGGAACUACAAGUGUAGAGGUGAAAUUCGUAGAUAUUUGUAGGAAUGCCGAUGGGGAAGCCAGCUUACUGGACAGAUACUGACGCUGAAGCGCGAAAGCGUGGGUAGCAAACAGGAUUAGAUACCCUGGUAGUCCACGCCGUAAACGAUGAUUACUAGGUGUUGGGGGUCGAACCUCAGCGCCCAAGCAAACGCGAUAAGUAAUCCGCCUGGGGAGUACGUACGCAAGUAUG